UGAGGAAUAUUGGUCAAUGGGCGAGAGCCUGAACCAGCCAAGUAGCGUGCAGGAUGACGGCCCUAUGGGUUGUAAACUGCUUUUAUGUGGGGAUAAAGUGCGUGACGUGUCAUGCAUUGCAGGUACCACAUGAAUAAGGACCGGCUAAUUCCGUGCCAGCAGCCGCGGUAAUACGGAAGGUCCGGGCGUUAUCCGGAUUUAUUGGGUUUAAAGGGAGCGUAGGCUGUCUAUUAAGCGUGUUGUGAAAAUUUACCGGCUCAACCGGUGGCUUGCAGCGCGAACUGGUCGACUUGAGUAUGCAGGAAGUAGGCGGAAUUCAUGGUGUAGCGGUGAAAUGCUUAGAUAUCAUGACGAACUCCGAUUGCGCAGGCAGCUUACUGUAGCAUAACUGACGCUGAUGCUCGAAAGUGCGGGUAUCAAACAGG
This 425-nucleotide ribosomal RNA is filed under the name Fusobacteriota bacterium. RNAcentral's name for it is "Fusobacteria bacterium partial 16S ribosomal RNA". It matches the Rfam family "Bacterial small subunit ribosomal RNA", at positions 355 to 776 of the family's 1533-position model. The record is from RNAcentral. Lineage: Bacteria; Fusobacteriati; Fusobacteriota.